AUCACGCACAGCCUUUGCAACAGAUUACUACAGGCUAAUUCCCUACAGAGAACAGUCAGUUACCUUUUGCUUCCACAGGGCAUUGCCAGCUACCAACCAAGGAAAGAUGAGCUACUCCACUGGAUUGUUAAAGAGCCCCACCAUGGACCAUAAUUACUAAGGGGAUGCAUAAACUCAGUUCUGCUUUCUGCUUCCGUAUCCAUGAAGCCCAUCGAGUAAGUGGAGUUUGCCAUUAGCAGGGUCUCUAAGUACCCUUUUGGAUUGACUUCUUCCUCUUUGUGACUUGCCAGGAAGUGGUAAGAUCCUUUCAAUCGGAUGUUUUGGGACAGGUUAGGAAGAGUCAGAAGCUGGUCUUAGGCCCAAGCCUGAGGAGGGUGCACUGAUCCAGCUUAUCCAAAGUACUGCUUUAGGUUUUGGCUACAUGUAUAGUAAUCAGUUAAGUGUACUUGCUACAAUUAUGACCAAUUAGCCUUUGAGUGUGCAGCUCCAAUGGUGAGAAGGACCUGCUGGCAGGUCAAGAUUUAAUCAUUCUUGGAUCCCCUGGACAUACUGCCACCAAAUUACUGUCAAGAACCCCAUUCUUCAACGUAACAGGAAUUAUUAAAAAAUAAUUUGCUCCAUGAAUUACUACUUUUGUUUUAGGCUUUUCAUGUAAACAACACCACAGUAACCUUCAGCAUGAUUACUCAAAAGAAUUGUAAAACAAAAUUCGCCUAUAUAUCCAAUCUUUUUACAUUUGUAAAGAAUUUA
Long non-coding RNA from Neofelis nebulosa (Clouded leopard), 750 nucleotides. RefSeq lists it as uncharacterized. The record is from RefSeq and is a predicted model, not a curated record. NCBI's taxonomy places the organism in Eukaryota, Metazoa, Chordata, Mammalia, Carnivora, Felidae. The transcript is spliced from 2 exons.